Molecule: ribosomal RNA, 467 nt
Filed under: uncultured bacterium
Lineage: Bacteria
Description: partial 16S ribosomal RNA
Rfam family: Bacterial small subunit ribosomal RNA
Source: RNAcentral
GACGAACGCUGGCGGCGUGCUUAACACAUGCAAGUCGAACGGAAAGGCCCUGCUUUUUUGUGGUGCUCGAGUGGCGAACGUGUGAGUAACACGUGAGUAACCUUCCCUUGACUUUGGGAUAACUUCAGGAAACUGGGGCUACUACCUGAUAGGUGCUCCUGCUGCAUGGUGGGGGUUGGAACGUUUCGUCGGUUGAGGAUGGACUUGCGGCUUAGUAGCUUGUUGGUGGGGUAGUGGCUUACCAAGGCUUUGACGACUAGCCGGCCUGAGAGGGUGACCGGGCACAGUGGGACUGGGAAACGGCCCAGACGGAAAAGGGAGGCAGGAGUGGGGAACAGUGCAAAAUGGGCGGAAGGCGGAUGCAGGAACGCCGGGUGGGGGAGGACGGUCUGUGGGUAGGAAACGGAGUAAGCUUAUAACGAAGCGUGAGUGAGGGUAAAGGGUAAAGAAGCACGGCCUAAUUACGU